Molecule: ribosomal RNA, 505 nt
Filed under: uncultured bacterium
Lineage: Bacteria
Description: bacterial SSU rRNA
Rfam family: Bacterial small subunit ribosomal RNA
Source: RNAcentral
CAGGCGGCGUGCCUAAUACAUGCAGUCGAGCGAACGGACGAGAAGCUUGCUUCUCUGAUGUUAGCGGCGGACGGGUGAGUAACACGUGGAUAACCUACCUAUAAGACUGGGAUAACUUCGGGAAACCGGAGCUAAUACCGGAUAAUAUUUUGAACCGCAUGGUUCAAAAGUGAAAGACGGUCUUGCUGUCACUUAUAGAUGGAUCCGCGCUGCAUUAGCUAGUUGGUAAGGUAACGGCUUACCAAGGCAACGAUGCAUAGCCGACCUGAGAGGGUGAUCGGCCACACUGGAACUGAGACACGGUCCAGACUCCUACGGGAGGCAGCAGUAGGGAAUCUUCCGCAAUGGGCGAAAGCCUGACGGAGCAACGCCACGUGAGUGAUGAAGGUCUUCGGAUCGUAAAACUCUGUUAUUAGGGAAGAACAUAUGUGUAAGUAACUGUGCACAUCUUGACGGUACCUAAUCAGAAAGCCACGGCCAACUACGUGCCAGCAGCCGCGGUAAU